RNAcentral lists this ribosomal RNA (1343 nucleotides) under Salmonella enterica subsp. enterica serovar Enteritidis. Its description in RNAcentral is "partial 23S ribosomal RNA". It matches the Rfam family "Bacterial large subunit ribosomal RNA", at positions 1538 to 2855 of the family's 2925-position model. Lineage: Bacteria; Pseudomonadati; Pseudomonadota; Gammaproteobacteria; Enterobacterales; Enterobacteriaceae. The record is from RNAcentral.
AAAUCCGGUUCACUUUAACACUGAGGCGUGACGACGAGGCACUACGGUGCUGAAGCAACAAAUGCCCUGCUUCCAGGAAAAGCCUCUAAGCAUCAGGUAACAUCAAAUCGUACCCCAAACCGACACAGGUGGUCAGGUAGAGAAUACCAAGGCGCUUGAGAGAACUCGGGUGAAGGAACUAGGCAAAAUGGUGCCGUAACUUCGGGAGAAGGCACGCUGACACGUAGGUGAAGUGAUUUACUCAUGGAGCUGAAGUCAGUCGAAGAUACCAGCUGGCUGCAACUGUUUAUUAAAAACACAGCACUGUGCAAACACGAAAGUGGACGUAUACGGUGUGACGCCUGCCCGGUGCCGGAAGGUUAAUUGAUGGGGUCAGCGCAAGCGAAGCUCCUGAUCGAAGCCCCGGUAAACGGCGGCCGUAACUAUAACGGUCCUAAGGUAGCGAAAUUCCUUGUCGGGUAAGUUCCGACCUGCACGAAUGGCGUAAUGAUGGCCAGGCUGUCUCCACCCGAGACUCAGUGAAAUUGAACUCGCUGUGAAGAUGCAGUGUACCCGCGGCAAGACGGAAAGACCCCGUGAACCUUUACUAUAGCUUGACACUGAACAUUGAGCCUUGAUGUGUAGGAUAGGUGGGAGGCUUUGAAGUGUGGACGCCAGUCUGCAUGGAGCCGACCUUGAAAUACCACCCUUUAAUGUUUGAUGUUCUAACGUGGACCCGUUACCCGGGUUGCGGACAGUGUCUGGUGGGUAGUUUGACUGGGGCGGUCUCCUCCUAAAGAGUAACGGAGGAGCACGAAGGUUGGCUAAUCCUGGUCGGACAUCAGGAGGUUAGUGCAAUGGCAUAAGCCAGCUUGACUGCGAGCGUGACGGCGCGAGCAGGUGCGAAAGCAGGUCAUAGUGAUCCGGUGGUUCUGAAUGGAAGGGCCAUCGCUCAACGGAUAAAAGGUACUCCGGGGAUAACAGGCUGAUACCGCCCAAGAGUUCAUAUCGACGGCGGUGUUUGGCACCUCGAUGUCGGCUCAUCACAUCCUGGGGCUGAAGUAGGUCCCAAGGGUAUGGCUGUUCGCCAUUUAAAGUGGUACGCGAGCUGGGUUUAGAACGUCGUGAGACAGUUCGGUCCCUAUCUGCCGUGGGCGCUGGAGAACUGAGGGGGGCUGCUCCUAGUACGAGAGGACCGGAGUGGACGCAUCACUGGUGUUCGGGUUGUCAUGCCAAUGGCACUGCCCGGUAGCUAAAUGCGGAAGAGAUAAGUGCUGAAAGCAUCUAAGCACGAAACUUGCCCCGAGAUGAGUUCUCCCUGAGACUUAGAGUCUCCUGAAGGAACGUUGAAGACGACGACGUUG